UACGGAGGGUGCAAGCGUUAUUCGGAAUCACUGGGCAUAAAGGGCGCGUAGGCGGCUCCAAAAGUCAGGGGUGAAAUCCGGCAGCUUAACUGUCGCAGUGCCUUUGAUACUGUGGAGCUAGAGGGAGGUAGGGGUCUGUGGAACUUCCGGUGGAGCGGUGAAAUGCGUUGAUAUCGGAAGGAACGCCGGUGGCGAAAGCGACGGACUGGAUCUCUUCUGACGCUGAGGCGCGAAAGCCAGGGGAGCAAACGGG
Molecule: ribosomal RNA, 253 nt
Filed under: uncultured bacterium
Lineage: Bacteria
Description: partial 16S ribosomal RNA
Rfam family: Bacterial small subunit ribosomal RNA
Source: RNAcentral